AACUACAACUAGGCUUCGGAUCCUGAUUCCUGAGUCCUGACGCCUGAAUCCCCUUUCCAUGCGCUUGCUUGCCCGAGCGAUAAAAGCACUGCAGCGCGGACAAGGACGUCUCACUCUCGCCCUCGCCCACCGACCCAUCAAAUUCCGGCCCGAGGAGAUCGCUCGAACGAACACUCGAACCAGGGAACGAGCAAACCAUGCGUCCGCCAGCGACGAGUUUUCACCUCAGCUGCCAGCUGACAACUGCCA
This 249-nucleotide long non-coding RNA is filed under the name Setaria italica (foxtail millet). RNAcentral describes it as "long non-coding RNA (SITA_LNC002147)". The record is from RNAcentral. Lineage: Eukaryota; Viridiplantae; Streptophyta; Magnoliopsida; Poales; Poaceae.